CCUACGGGAGGCAGCAGUGAGGAAUAUUGGUCAAUGGACGAGAGUCUGAACCAGCCAAGUAGCGUGAAGGAUGACUGCCCUAUGGGUUGUAAACUUCUUUUAUAUGGGAAUAAUAUGUUCCACGUGUGGGCUUUUGUAUGUACCAUAUGAAUAAGGCUUGGCUAACUCCGUGCCAGCCGCCGCGGUAAUUCGGAGGAUUCCGGCGUUUUCCGGAUUUAUUGGGGUUAAAGGGAGCGUAGGGGGAUUGAUCAGUCAAUUGUGAAAGUUUGGGGGUCAACCGUAAGAUUGCAGUUGAAACUGACGGUCUUGAGUACAGUAGAGGUGUGCGGAAUUCGUGGUGUAGCGGUGAAAUGCUUAGAUAUCACGAAGAACUCCGAUUGCGAAGGCAGUUCACUGGACUGCAACUGACACUGAGGCUCGAAAGUGUGGGUAUCAAACAGGAUUAGAUACCCCUGUAGUC
RNAcentral lists this ribosomal RNA (460 nucleotides) under uncultured bacterium. RNAcentral's name for it is "partial 16S ribosomal RNA". It matches the Rfam family "Bacterial small subunit ribosomal RNA", at positions 338 to 795 of the family's 1533-position model. The record is from RNAcentral.